UUGGAGGGCAAGUCUGGUGCCAGCAGCCGCGGUAAUUCCAGCUCCAAUAGCGUAUAUUAAAGUUGUUGCAGUUAAAAAGCUCGUAGUUGAAUUUCGGGGUUAGUAGGCUGGUCGUGCCACAGGUAUGCACUGGUCUUACUGAUUCCUCCUUCCUGAUGAACCGUAAUGCCAUUAAUUUGGUGUUGCGGGGAGUCUGGACUGUUACUUUGAAAAAAUUGAGUGUUUAAAGCAGGCUAACGCUUGAAUACAUUAGCAUGGAAUAACGAAAUAGGACGUUCGAUCUUAUUUUGUUGGUUUCUAGGAUUGACGUAAUGAUUAAUAGGGAUAGUUGGGGGCAUUAGUAUUCAAUUGUCAGAGGUGAAAUUCUUGGAUUUAUUGAAGACUAACUACUGCGAAAGCAUUUGCCAAGGAUGUUUUCAUUAAUCAAGAACGAAAGUUAG
RNAcentral lists this ribosomal RNA (440 nucleotides) under Rhizophagus sp. (in: glomeromycetes). Its description in RNAcentral is "SSU rRNA". It matches the Rfam family "Eukaryotic small subunit ribosomal RNA", at positions 548 to 993 of the family's 1831-position model. Lineage: Eukaryota; Fungi; Glomeromycota; Glomeromycetes; Glomerales; Glomeraceae. The record is from RNAcentral.